UGGGGAAUAUUGGACAAUGGGGGCAACCCUGAUCCAGCAAUGCCGCGUGUGUGAAGAAGGCCUUCGGGUUGUAAAGCACUUUUAUCGGGAACGAAACAUUGUCGGCCAAUACCCGGCAAGACUGACGGUACCCGAGGAAUAAGCACCGGCUAACUCCGUGCCAGCAGCCGCGGUAAUACGGAGGGUGCAAGCGUUAAUCGGAAUUACUGGGCGUAAAGGGUGCGCAGGCGGUCUUGCAAGUCAGAUGUGAAAGCCCCGGGCUUAACCUGGGAAUUGCGUUUGAAACUACAAGGCUAGAGUGCAGCAGAGGGGAGUGGAAUUCCAUGUGUAGCAGUGAAAUGCGUAGAGAUGUGGAAGAACACCGAUGGCGAAGGCAGCUCCCUGGGUUGACACUGAUGCUCAUGCACGAAAGCGUGGGGAGCAAACA
Molecule: ribosomal RNA, 427 nt
Filed under: uncultured bacterium
Lineage: Bacteria
Description: bacterial SSU rRNA
Rfam family: Bacterial small subunit ribosomal RNA
Source: RNAcentral